CCGCGUGCGGGAAGAGGCUUAGGGUUGUAAACCGCUUUCAGCAGGGAAGAAAAUGACGGUACCUGCAGAAGAAGGUGCGGCCAACUACGUGCCAGCAGCCGCGGUGACACGUAGGCACCAAGCGUUGUCCGGAUUUAUUGGGCGUAAAGAGCUCGUAGGCGGUUCAGUAAGUCGGGUGUGAAAACUCUGGGCUUAACCCAGAGCCGCCACCCGAUACUGCUGUGACUUGAGUCCGGUAGGGGAGCGGGGAAUUCCUGGUGUAGCGGUGAAAUGCGCAGAUAUCAGGAGGAACACCGGUGGCGAAGGCGCCGCUCUGGGCCGAGACUGACGCUGAGGAGCGAAAGCAUGGGUAGCAAACAGGAUUAGAUACCCUGGUAGUCCAUGCCGUAAACGUUGGGCACUAGGUGUGGGCAUCAACCAACGAUGUCCGCGCCGUCGCUAACGCAUUAAGUGCCCCGCCUGGGGAGUACGGUCGCAAGACUAAAACUCAAAGGAAUUGACGGGGGCCCGCACAAGCAGCGGAGCGUGUUGCUUAAAUUCGAUGCUACGCGAAGAACUUAACUAGGUUUGACAUGUACGGACUAGCCACGAGAUGUGGUGU
Molecule: ribosomal RNA, 601 nt
Filed under: uncultured bacterium
Lineage: Bacteria
Description: bacterial SSU rRNA
Rfam family: Bacterial small subunit ribosomal RNA
Source: RNAcentral